Molecule: non-coding RNA, 1014 nt
Organism: Oryctolagus cuniculus (rabbit)
Lineage: Eukaryota; Metazoa; Chordata; Mammalia; Lagomorpha; Leporidae
Source: RefSeq, a predicted model, not a curated record
GAAAAAGACCUGCCCUCCCUUUUCAGUGGCAGCUGUUUUGGGAUCAGCGAGAGGCGACGAGGCGAAGAGAGCGAUGAAGGCAGCGCCGCAGACAGCCCCGGUCCUUGGCGGCAGGAAAGACUCAAGGUCACACGGGAUAAACUGCGAACCGAUUACAGUCUCCUUGCGUCAGUUGCGCGAGAGGAGGAGCUUGUUGCGCUUGCGCAGCUGAUAUCCGUUUAAGGGUCUGGAGCGCAUGUGCAUAGAGAGUGGCGGAAAAAGAAGGUUUAGGCUCCUUACAGCGCUCAUUGGAUGUCCAAUGCUCGCGAGUCUGGCCUGAGAGGAGCCCGGGGCGAGUCCGGGCGCGUGCACGCUCCACGCGCGCGGACGUGUUCCUCGCCUCCGCUCCGCGAGCAGGGCGCCAUCUUGCCCUGGGACUUUAAAACUGCAGACGACGGAAUGUUGGUUACCCGGUCUUGCUGUUUGUCCACAACGUGAAAGAACACCGGGAUAAGCAGAUCUGAAACUAAGUCCGGGCUGCGCUUUUACCACAGCUUCAGGCUUCUCUUUGGGAUGUGUGAAAGCUGUUGGAUUUAAGUCUGCUGUGGAAUGACAGAGCAAGAACACCCUCACCAGGACCUACCAUGUCAAGUCUAGCUCAGAGCCUUUGUACCAACUGUGCCCACCGCCUGGAAGCUGCUGCUCUGACAUCUUCACUUCCUGAAACCUUAUCAUUCAAGUUUUAGCCAACAUUACAAGUUUCCUCUGUUCUCUCAAAUUUAAAAUAAAUUCCUUAAGGACAAAAACAGACUAUUCACAUGUACUUGUUUUUGUAUGAAUGACUUUCUCCGGAAGAAUGCACAAUUAACAUUUGGUGCUCACAGAGAAGGAAGUUGGAUAGCUGGGAGGCAGAACCAGGAGAGAGACUUCUUUGCAUAGUGUCUUCUAUUUAAAAUGUGUAGACUUAUUAAGUAUAUUAUCUUUUUUAAAAAAUUCUUUAAAAAAUACAAAUUAAAGAAGAAAAAAUAAAGUAGC